AGAGUUUGAUCAUGGCUCAGAUUGAACGCUGGCGGUAUGCUUAACACAUGCAAGUCGAACGCGAAAGCACCUUCGGGUGUAAGUAGAGUGGCGGACGGGUGAGUAAGGCAUGGGAAUCUGCCCUAUAGCGGGGGAUAACUUGGGGAAACCCAAGCUAAUACCGCAUACACCUACGGGUAAAAGAUGGCCUCUUCUUGAAAGCUAUUACUAUAGGAUGAGCCCAUGUAAGAUUAGCUAGUUGGUAGGGUAAAAGCCUACCAAGGCUACGAUCUUUAGCUGGUCUGAGAGGACGAUCAGCCACACUGGGACUGAGACACGGCCCAGACUCCUACGGGAGGCAGCAGUGGGGAAUAUUGGACAAUGGGGGCAGCCCUGAUCCAGCAAUACCGCGUGUGUGAAGAAGGCCUGCGGGUUGUAAAGCACUUUUAUCUGUGAGGAAGGGUUUAAUGUUAAUACCAUUAGACAUUGACG
This 471-nucleotide ribosomal RNA is filed under the name uncultured bacterium. RNAcentral describes it as "bacterial SSU rRNA". It matches the Rfam family "Bacterial small subunit ribosomal RNA", at positions 8 to 480 of the family's 1533-position model. The record is from RNAcentral.